UGCCAACAGCUGGAGAGGCAGGAGCUCCCUCAGCCGAGAUAUGGGAAGGAGCCUGAGUUGCAGCCCUUAGUGUUUCCUCGCUUAAAUCUCUCUCAUGCCAUCCCACACUGGAUUGUUACAGAAAGGGAGAUGUGGACAGCAGUCAGUCUUGGGCAGCAAAGACAAGCGUCUGCAUUUCAGAGGGAAAAGUGCCCCUUCAAAGUGUUGACCAGCCUUUGUAGGAUGGACUUCCAAAGGAAAAAAAAAUACCCAUGUCACGGGCUGUGUGGUAACGUUUGUCUGAUACACACGUGUGCGCACACACACUGCACUCCCUGGAUAUUAAGGUAAUGAUGACAAUGUUUUCACUGUCUGUGGACAGAGCAGCCUCCCUACUCCACGUGCUAAGGUCUCUGCAGGCCGGCAGGCAGAGCGCAGAGCUUAACAGCUUGAAGGAUGACGGCGUCUUUUGGCACGUGGGCAAAAACGCCGUAACUUAUUACGGCAUGCAGGCUGGCACAGACACAGUGAACAGUUUGAGCUGACUGUAAAGGAAGCCAGAUAAGAAGAGAGCAGGGAAACAUUUUCUUUCUUCUUUGUUUUGCAGUUUUCUAGGCCGGUCCAGUGUUUCUUUUAUGAUGUAACACUCCCGUCUGCCCUUUGAUGCUAGUUUGUCUGUCUGCACCCUGAUUUAUGAUGCUUUCCAUUAACUGCUGGAAACAGAUUGUAGCAAAUUGAAUGCAGCCGGAGCCAUGGUUUUUUCUGCUCUUUUAAAAAAGUGCAAAUUUAGUGUUCCUAGGGGUGCAAGGUUGACUGCCCUGGAGUGUGAAAUCCUCCUGGCCCCAAAACUGGGACAGCACACACGGGGGCUCCCUGCUAUGGAGCAAUUCCCUUCCAUUAAGAGGCAGGAGGUAACAUGAUCUCCAGGAGCCUGCUUAACCCUUGGCUUCUCUGCUGAGACACUGAGUCAGCUAAAUGCCAUUUAUGGUGGUGGUUUUUGUGAUGUGAUCAGCUACAUCUGCUAGCUAGGCACUGGAUUGAAAGCAGGUGCUCCACAUGCCAGAUAUUGUCAUGCACGUGAACUAUAUGCACAGGGAAAAUCAUCAUCUUUCAUUCAUUGGAGCAACUGAUGAUGAUCGUGAAGCAAAGCGUUCAGUAGAAAAGUUAUAGGGCCUCACUGGAGCAAGGGUGUCCUUAAGGCCCCAGCUAUGCUGCUAAAGGAACAAAUCAGGCUAUCCCCUUUUCAUAUAUAGACUUUUUUUUGCUGGUAUAUAAACACAAUCAUUUCCUAGAUGUGGCACUUUCUUGAUGAAGCAAAAACCCUUGCGUUCACCUUCUAUCAAUUUAUGCUAAUAUUUGUGGCCCUAAUCAAUAUGUAGAGCAUGACUUUUUGAAGGCACUAAGUUAUCUGUAUGAAUCCAUUUCCCUUAAACAGUUAAAAAUUGUCCUUGAUUAUCAUCUGCUAUUUCAUAGAGAUUUUUAAAA
Long non-coding RNA from Alligator mississippiensis (American alligator), 1464 nucleotides. RefSeq lists it as uncharacterized. The record is from RefSeq and is a predicted model, not a curated record. Lineage: Eukaryota; Metazoa; Chordata; Crocodylia; Alligatoridae. The transcript has 3 exons.